Molecule: long non-coding RNA, 8509 nt
Filed under: Citrus sinensis (sweet orange)
Lineage: Eukaryota; Viridiplantae; Streptophyta; Magnoliopsida; Sapindales; Rutaceae
Description: long non-coding RNA (CSIN_LNC002191)
Source: RNAcentral
GAAUGAAUCUGAACUUAUAAAGACAGUUGUUGAUGAGAUUUUGGAGAGGCUGCUUAAAGUGGCUCCAUUUGAUAACAAAAAUCAGCUAGUUGGAGUAGAAUCAAGAGUUGAGGAAAUUGAAUCUCUAUUAGCUGCUGCUCCUAUAUUAGGGAUUUGGGGCAUCGGUGGUGUAGGCAAGACAACAAUUUCUAGGGUGAUUUUCAACAAAAUCUCCAGAAAUUUUGAAGGUUCUUGCUUCCUUCAAAAUGUAAGAGAAGAAUCGCAGAGCCCUGGUGGAUUAGCUAGGUUGCGGCAAAAACUUUUUAACGAAGUAUUGAAGGAUGUAAAUGUGAUUCCUGAUAUUGACUUCAACUUUAGGAGGCUCAGCCGCAGGAAGGUUCUGAUUGUUCUCGAUGAUGUGACUAGCUUCAGCCAAAUAAAAUCCUUCAUCAGAGGUUCUGAUCGGUUUCUGCCUGAAAGUCGUAUCAUACUAACCACAAGAGAUCAACAAGUCCUUAAGAAUUGGGUUGUGAAAGAGAGUGACAUUUAUGAGAUGAAAGAAUUAGAACACGAUCAUGCCCUUGAGCUUUUUAGUCGACAUGCCUUCAAACAAAACCGUCCUCCUGAAGCAGGUUAUGAGGAAUUGUCAGAGAUAGUAAUAAAUUAUGCUCGAGGUGUCCCUUUAGCACUGGAAAUUUUGGGUUGCUAUCUAUUUGGAAGGGAAAAGGAAGUUUGGGAAAGCGCAAUAAACAAAUUGAAAAGAAUUCCUAAUAUGGAGAUCCAAAAUGUGCUAAAAGUAAGUUUCGAUGAUCUGGAUGAUGAAGAGAAAGAUAUUUUUCUAGACAUUGUUUGUUUCUUUAAAGGGAAAGAUAAAGACUUCAUUAUAAAUUUUCUUAAUGCUUGUGGCUUUGAUGCACAAAUAGGAAUAAGUGAUCUUGUCAAUAAGUCUCUUAUUGUCAUACGCGACAACGGAAUAACAAUGCAUGAUCUGUUACAAGAAAUGGGUAGGGAAAUUGUCAGGCAAGAAUCUGUGAAAAAUCCAGGAGAACGCAGUCGGCUGUGGCAUCAUGAGGAUAUUAUUGAAGUUUUGACAUUUAAUACGGUAAGCAUUUUGUUUGAGACUUUAUAUUAUUUUGAAAUGCUAUUGGAUAUGUAAACUUUACUUAUAAUUAUGUAUAAAUAGAUGGGAUAUAAAACCAAUAGAAGAACUGGCAAUAAUAAAAGGAAAAAAAAUAUUGCAAUGUCAAUUUACAACUAAAAGUCUGGCAAACAAACAUAGAUACAUUACAAUGUCAAUUUACAUCUAAAGUAUGGCAAACAAACACAGAUACUUUAUAUGUUUAGUAUUGUCUGUAUUACUAUGUUUCUUUUGUAUGUAGGCAUGUCAAUUUACAUCUAGAAGCAUGGCAAACAAACAUGGAUACUUUAUAUGCUUAGUAUUGUUUGUAUUACAAUGUUUCUUUUGUACGUUGGCUUGCAAUUAACGUGAACAUUAAUUUAAAUUUGAAUUUAACUUUCUGGUCUUUCAUUGAUUGCUAGGGGACCAAAAAAGUUGAGGGUAUCUGCUUGGAUAUGUCUAGAAUAAAAGAGAUCCAUCUACAUCCAGAUACUUUCACAAAGAUGUGUAAAUUGAGAUUUUUGAAAUUCUAUAACUCUAAAGAUGAUGGAGAGAACAAAUGUAAGGUGUCUUAUUUGGUAGGACCUGGAUUUGCUGAAGUGAGGUAUCUUCACUGGUAUGGAUAUCCACUAAAAUCAUUACCGACAAAUAUUCAUCCAGAGAAACUUGUUUCAAUUGAAAUGCCUCAUGGUAAUAUUCAACAACUUUGGGAUAGUGUCCAGGUAUAUAAAAUCUUCAUAUUUAUGCAAUGUUUCAGUAAUAAUGUUUAAUUAUUUAUUGUACUUAAAUGCUAACGAUUUGUAUGUCUGGGCUUCUAUUUUUUUGGAGCAGCAUAAUGGUAAGUUAAAGCAGAUAAUAAGCCGGGCCUCUAAUUUUUUCACCAAAUCUCCAAACCACUCGUUGACUCUGCAUCUGGACAAGCUAGUUAACCUCAAUCUAAACAAUUGCAAAAGCUUGAGAAUUCUUCCAGCUGGAAUAUUUCGUUUGGAAUUUCUUAAAGAACUUGAUCUUUGGGGUUGCUCAAAACUAAAAACGCUUCCAGAGAUCUCAUCAGCUGGUAAUAUAGAAGUGAUGUAUUUAAAUGGAACUGCAAUUGAAGAAUUGCCUUCAUCCAUAGAAUGUCUAUCUGGGCUUUCGGCCUUAUACCUUGAUCAUUGUAAAAGGCUGAAGAGUCUCCCAAGCAGCCUAUGUAAGUUGAAAUCUCUGAAUUCUAUUUAUCUCAGGUAGUGCUCAAGUCUUAAGAGUUUGCCCGAUGAACUUGGAAAUUUAGAAGCUUUGAACAGUUUGAAUGCUGAAGGAACUGCUAUAAGAGAAGUGCCGUUGUCCAUUGUUUGUUUGAACAAUUUUGAUGGCUUGCAAAAUCUAACGUCUUUAUAUCUAACUGAUUGCGGCAUCACGGAGUUACCUGAAAAUCUCGGUCAGUUAUCCUUAUUACUUGAAUUGUAUCUAGAGAAAAACAAUUUUGAGAGAAUACCAGAGAGCAUCAUACAUCUUUCUAAGUUGGCAUAUCUUAAAUUGAGUUAUUGUGAGAGGCUUCAAUCCUUACCAAAGCUUCCAUGCAAUCUAAGUGAGUUAGAUGCACAUCAUUGCACAGCACUGGAAUCAUCUCCAGGUUUAGUAUUCCCAAGUCGUGAUCCUCAGUAUUUUGAGCUAAGAAAUAAUUUGAAAUUGGAUCGCAACGAGAUCAGGGAAAUUCUCGAAGAUGCUCAGCAAGAAAUUCAGGUUAUGGCAAUAGCACGUUGGAAACAAUUACAGGAAAAGGUAUGUUGUGUCUUUUAUGAUCCUUUUAAUCUAUACAAUGUUAUUGAGUAAUGAUCUAGUGGGCGAUAGUGCUCAUCUUAUGGAGAGCGAGAGUGGCACAUCGCAUUGCUUAAUUAAUCCACAGCCUUAACGCUAUUCACUGGGAGUUGUAGAAUUCUGCCACAUAUCCAAAUGCUCAUCCAUAUGGUGGGCACUAGCGCUCACUAGAUCAUCGUUCCAAUGCUAUUUUGUUAAUUUUUUAUUUAAAAUUAAAUUUAACAACAUUUCUUCAAAAUUAUGAUCUUUGGUACAGGGAGAUUUUUUCCAAAGUUCAGGUCGAGUAUUAUUACCUGGGAAUGAAAUUCCAAAGUGGUUUAGCUUUCAAAGUUUGGGAUCUUCUUCUAUAACCUUGAAGAUGCCACCUGUAGGUUGGUUCAGUAAUAACAAAGUGAUUGGCUUUGCUUACAGCGCUGUUGUAGGAUUUCGAGACCAUCAUGUCAAAGAGAAGAGGUGGUUUAACUUGUUCUGUGAAUUCAUGAAAGCCAAACCUGAAGAUUGUACUGAGCUACUGGUCAGACGGAGUUCUCUAAGGGGAUUUAAUUAUGUAGAGUCAGAUCACUUACUUUUGGGGUACUAUUUCUUUGGUGAGCAUGAUUUUAGUGCUUUCCAGAAACACAACUGCGAUCAUGUGGCAGUCAAGUUCUAUUUAGAGGAUGAUCAUAAUCAACGUGAACGUUUGGAUUGUUGCCCGGUGAAAAAAUGUGGGAUUCAUUUAUUGUACGCCCCUGAUUCUACGGAACCCACAGAAGAUCCAAGGAGUACUCUCGGUUGAAGUAUUCUUUAAGGCAUCAUAGUAGCUGCUACUUUUCAGUAAAUUAAUAAAUCUUAUAUUCAUAAACCUUGUUUUGCUAGCUUGGUUUCUUUUCCUUCUAUCUGUUUUUAUUACUUUUCUUUAAUUCUUUUCUUCCCAUAUAUAAAUAAUUGGCUUCAAAUAUUCAUAGGGAGAUACUUGUUUUCCUUGAAUUGCCUCGUUGCAGUAUUGAACAACUUUCGGAGAGCGUCCAGGUGUGCAAUGUCAAUAAUAUUUAAUUAUCAUACACGCUACUGAUCUGCAUGUAAUGGCUUCUUUUUUGGUGAAAGCAGAAUAAUUCAUUGGUAACGCUUGAUUAAUCUCUGGUUAUAGUACUCAAUAGAUUUAGUGAGACAUUUCGUCAAACAGGUAGGUUGUAAAAAUUAUAUAGCCUAUGGUAAAAAAUUUGAAUUAGGAUAUAGAGAUACAAAGACAGGAAAAUUCUUUUGUAAUAAUUGUAAAGAUAAACAACAUGAAGACAAUACAAUAGAAAUUAGUGAACUAAUAAAUACAACCUAACCCGCACUCAUAAAAAUUAUAAAUUAUUAAACUCACCCAUAAUCGGCAGUGGGUUUUUUAUUUUUUUUAAAAAGUCCAUCUAUUGCUGGUUUUAGGGGUGGUAAAAAUACAUGUCUGAUCUAAACUCUGGCGAUGUGGACCGGAUAAUGCUAAGCUUGGGUAUGAAGCCAAACUUGUCUUGGGCAUCACUUUAUAAACUCAAGACUCGACCCAAAACUUAAAUUUUAUUAAAAAAGUCCAAAUCUCCAAACCACUCGUUGACCCUGCAUCUGGACAAGCUAGUUAACCUCAAUCUAAACAAUUGCAAAAGCUUGAGAAUUCUUCCAGCUGGAAUAUUUCGUUUGGAAUUUCUUAAAGAACUUGAUCUUUGGGGUUGCUCAAAACUAAAAACGCUUCCAGAGAUCUCAUCAGCUGGUAAUAUAGAAGUGAUGUAUUUAAAUGGAACUGCAAUUGAAGAAUUGCCUUCAUCCAUAGAAUGUCUAUCUGGGCUUUCGGCCUUAUACCUUGAUCAUUGUAAAAGGCUGAAGAGUCUCCCAAGCAGCCUAUGUAAAUUGAACUCUCUGAACUUUAUUUAUCUCAGGUGGUGCUCAAGUCUUAGGAGUUUGCCUGAUGAACUUGGAAAUUUAGAAGCUUUGGACAGUUUGAUUGCUGAAGGAACUGCUAUAAGAGAAGUGCCGUUGUCCAUUGUUUGUUUGAACAAUUUUGAUGGCUUGCAAAAUCUAACGUCUUUAUAUCUAACUGAUUGCGGCAUCACGGAGUUACCUGAAAAUCUCGGUCAGUUAUCCUUAUUACUUGAAUUGUAUCUAGAGAAAAACAAUUUUGAGAGAAUACCAGAGAGCAUCAUACAUCUUUCUAAGUUGGCAUAUCUUAAAUUGAGUUAUUGUGAGAGGCUUCAAUCCUUACCAAAGCUUCCAUGCAAUCUAAGUGAGUUAGAUGCACAUCAUUGCACAGCACUGGAAUCAUCUCCAGGUUUAGUAUUCCCAAGUCGUGAUCCUCAGUAUUUUGAGCUAAGAAAUAAUUUGAAAUUGGAUCGCAACGAGAUCAGGGAAAUUCUCGAAGAUGCUCAGCAAGAAAUUCAGGUUAUGGCAAUAGCACGUUGGAAACAAUUACAGGAAAAGGUAUGUUGUGUCUUUUAUGAUCCUUUUAAUCUAUACAAUGUUAUUGAGUAAUGAUCUAGUGGGCGAUAGUGCUCAUCUUAUGGAGAGCGAGAGUGGCACAUCGCAUUGCUUAAUUAAUCCACAGCCUUAACGCUAUUCACUGGGAGUUGUAGAAUUCUGCCACAUAUCCAAAUGCUCAUCCAUAUGGUGGGCACUAGCGCUCACUAGAUCAUCGUUCCAAUGCUAUUUUGUUAAUUUUUUAUUUAAAAUUAAAUUUAACAACAUUUCUUCAAAAUUAUGAUCUUUGGUACAGGGAGAUUUUUUCCAAAGUUCAGGUCGAGUAUUAUUACCUGGGAAUGAAAUUCCAAAGUGGUUUAGCUUUCAAAGUUUGGGAUCUUCUUCUAUAACCUUGAAGAUGCCACCUGUAGGUUGGUUCAGUAAUAACAAAGUGAUUGGCUUUGCUUACAGCGCUGUUGUAGGAUUUCGAGACCAUCAUGUCAAAGAGAAGAGGUGGUUUAACUUGUUCUGUGAAUUCAUGAAAGCCAAACCUGAAGAUUGUACUGAGCUACUGGUCAGACGGAGUUCUCUAAGGGGAUUUAAUUAUGUAGAGUCAGAUCACUUACUUUUGGGGUACUAUUUCUUUGGUGAGCAUGAUUUUAGUGCUUUCCAGAAACACAACUGCGAUCAUGUGGCAGUCAAGUUCUAUUUAGAGGAUGAUCAUAAUCAACGUGAACGUUUGGAUUGUUGCCCGGUGAAAAAAUGUGGGAUUCAUUUAUUGUACGCCCCUGAUUCUACGGAACCCACAGAAGAUCCAAGGAGUACUCUCGGUUGAAGUAUUCUUUAAGGCAUCAUAGUAGCUGCUACUUUUCAGUAAAUUAAUAAAUCUUAUAUUCAUAAACCUUGUUUUGCUAGCUUGGUUUCUUUUCCUUCUAUCUGUUUUUAUUACUUUUCUUUAAUUCUUUUCUUCCCAUAUAUAAAUAAUUGGCUUCAAAUAUUCAUAGGGAGAUACUUGUUUUCCUUGAAUUGCCUCGUUGCAGUAUUGAACAACUUUCGGAGAGCGUCCAGGUGUGCAAUGUCAAUAAUAUUUAAUUAUCAUACACGCUACUGAUCUGCAUGUAAUGGCUUCUUUUUUGGUGAAAGCAGAAUAAUUCAUUGGUAACGCUUGAUUAAUCUCUGGUUAUAGUACUCAAUAGAUUUAGUGAGACAUUUCGUCAAACAGGUAGGUUGUAAAAAUUAUAUAGCCUAUGGUAAAAAAUUUGAAUUAGGAUAUAGAGAUACAAAGACAGGAAAAUUCUUUUGUAAUAAUUGUAAAGAUAAACAACAUGAAGACAAUACAAUAGAAAUUAGUGAACUAAUAAAUACAACCUAACCCGCACUCAUAAAAAUUAUAAAUUAUUAAACUCACCCAUAAUCGGCAGUGGGUUUUUUAUUUUUUUUAAAAAGUCCAUCUAUUGCUGGUUUUAGGGGUGGUAAAAAUACAUGUCUGAUCUAAACUCUGGCGAUGUGGACCGGAUAAUGCUAAGCUUGGGUAUGAAGCCAAACUUGUCUUGGGCAUCACUUUAUAAACUCAAGACUCGACCCAAAACUUAAAUUUUAUUAAAAAAGUAUUAUAAAAUGUAUAUUAUUUUUAAUAUUUAUAUUUAUUUGACUGAUCUAUUACAUAUAGAUAAAAUUUUAAAUAUUUGAAGUUUAAAUUUUCAUGUUCGAUUUCAUUGAAAUAAAUUUAAAAAUUAUAAAAUUAUAAAAAAUUAUAAAAAUACAUAUAUAAUAAUAAAAAAAUACAAAAUACUGGGCACAAAAACCUGGAUUAAAAAACUUGGACUGGGUGUUUAAAAAUUACAUCAGGGCCAGGUCCAAGCAUUUCGAUACUUAGACCCGAACCUGAGAUUUAACAAUUAACAAACUAACCUAUAGCACCGAGUAAAUUUUUUUUAUAAGUUUUCUCAUUUAAAAUCAUAAAUAUAAAAAAAAAAUACUUUUAAUAAUACAUAAAAAAUUAAAUUAAGUGAUUCAAAUAUAAAUUUAUAACCCCUACAAAAUUCGUGUACAAAAUUCAAUUCUAAAUUUUACCAAUGAAAAUAAGAAAUUAAAAUUCCAACAUUAAAAAAAAAACAAAAUAUACUAAAUCUGACUUACAAAAUAAAAAAGAAAAACAAUAAAUAGCUGAUAGUAAUCUACUUUACAAAUUAUUAUCAUAUCCCAAAUCAAUUUUCUAAUCAUCAAAAUCUCUAAUCAAUUGAAUUGUUUCUGUUGUUAUGGCUUCUUCUUCUUCUUCUCGUCCAUCCAGCAGUUUGAGUUCGAUGAAUAAUCCUCGAAACAAUAAGUAUGAUGUUUUCCUGAGUUUCAGAGAAGAGGAAACCAGUGAUAGCUUUACUAGCCAUCUUUAUUCAGCCUUGUGUGAAACGAGUAUCGAAACUUUCAUUGAUGACCAACUCGUCAGAGGAAAUGAAAUCUCACAGUUUCUUCUUGAUGCAAUUGAAGCAUCAAGCAUAUCAGUUAUCGUAUUCUCUGAAGGGUAUGCUUCUUCCAGAUGGUGCCUCGAUGAACUUCUAAAGAUCCUCGAUUGCAGGAAAGAGUAUGCACAGAUUGUGAUACCAGUUUUCUAUCGGGUCGAUCCAUCACAUGUGAGAAAGCAAAUUGGGAGUUUUGGGGUUUCAAUUUCGGAGCUUGAAAAAAGAUUUCCAGACAAGAAACAAAGUUGGGGGAGUGCUUUAACUGAAGCAGCCAAUCUCUCUGGCUUUGAUUCUCAUGUCUUCAGGUAGCAGUCAAUUUAUUACCAAUUUUAUAAUUAUUUUUAUUUACUCAAGUUCUAGUAUUAUAUGAAUAAUUUUAAAAGCAAAAAAACUGUCUCAAAUCCGAACUAAUUAAAAACUCUCCUUUUUGUCUCUUUUUGAACUUAAUACUAUGUUUCUUGUAUUUGCUAGGAAUGAAUCUGAACUUAUAAAGACAGUUGUUGAUGAGAUUUUGGAGAGCCUGCCUAAAGUGGUUCCAUUUGAUAACAAAAAUCAGCUAGUUGGAGUAGAAUCAAGAGUUGAGGAAAUUGAAUCUCUAUUAGCUGCUGCACCUAUAUUAGGGAUUUGGGGCAUCGGUGGUGUAGGCAAGACAACAAUUUCUAGGGUGAUUUUCAACAAAAUCUCCAGAAAUUUUGAAGGUUCCUGCUUCCUUCAAAAUGUAAGAGAAGAAUCGCAGAGCCCUGGUGGAUUAGCU